GACAGAGGGUGCAAACGUUGCUCGGACUUACUGGGCGUAAAGCGAGUGUAGGCGGUGUGGUAAGUCGGAUGUGAAAGCCCCGGGCUCAACCCGGGAAGUGCACUCGAUACUGCCACGCUAGAGUAUCGGAGAGGUUGGUGGAAUUCUCGGUGUAGAGGUGAAAUUCGUAGAUAUCGAGAGGAACACCGGUGGCGAAGGCGGCCAACUGGACGAAUACUGACGCUGAGACGCGAAAGCGUGGGGAGCGAACAGG
Molecule: ribosomal RNA, 253 nt
Filed under: uncultured bacterium
Lineage: Bacteria
Description: partial 16S ribosomal RNA
Rfam family: Bacterial small subunit ribosomal RNA
Source: RNAcentral